RNAcentral lists this ribosomal RNA (512 nucleotides) under uncultured bacterium. RNAcentral describes it as "partial 16S ribosomal RNA". It matches the Rfam family "Bacterial small subunit ribosomal RNA", at positions 28 to 507 of the family's 1533-position model. The record is from RNAcentral.
GAUGAACGCUGGCGGCGUGCCUAAUACAUGCAAGUCGAACGAAACUUCUUUAUCACCGAGCGCUUGCACUCACCGAUAAAGAGUUGAGUGGCGAACGGGUGAGUAACACGUGGGCAACCUGCCCAAAAGAGGGGGAUAACACUUGGAAACAGGUGCUAAUACCGCAUAACCAUAGUUACCGCAUGGUAACUAUGUAAAAGGUGGCUAUACUACCGCUUUUGGAUGGGCCCGCGGCGCAUUAGCUAGUUGGUAGGGUAAAGGCUUACCAAGGCAAUGAUGCGUAGCCGAAUUGAGAGGUUGAUCGGCCACAUUGGGACUGAGACACGGCCCAAACUCCUACGGGAGGCAGCAGUAGGGAAUCUUCCACAAUGGGCGAAAGCCUGAUGGAGCAACGCCGCGUGGGUGAAGAAGGUCUUCGGAUCGUAAAACCCUGUUGUUAGAGAAGAAAGUGCGUGAGAGUAACUGUUCACGUUUCGACGGUAUCUAACCAGAAAGCCACGGCUAACUACGUG